Molecule: ribosomal RNA, 627 nt
Filed under: uncultured bacterium
Lineage: Bacteria
Description: bacterial SSU rRNA
Rfam family: Bacterial small subunit ribosomal RNA
Source: RNAcentral
GAAUUUCGGUAUGGGAUGGGGAUGCGUUCCAUUAGUUAGUUGGCGGGGUAACGGCCCACCAAGACAACGAUGGAUAGGGGUUCUGAGAGGAAGGUCCCCCACAUUGGAACUGAGACACGGUCCAAACUCCUACGGGAGGCAGCAGUGAGGAAUAUUGGUCAAUGGACGAGAGUCUGAACCAGCCAAGUAGCGUGAAGGAUGACUGCCCUAUGGGUUGUAAACUUCUUUUAUAUGGGAAUAAAAUGUUCCACGUGUGGGAUUUUGUAUGUACCAUAUGAAUAAGGAUCGGCUAACUCCGUGCCAGCAGCCGCGGUAAUACGGAGGAUCCGAGCGUUAUCCGGAUUUAUUGGGUUUAAAGGGAGCGUAGGUGGAUUGUUAAGUCAGUUGUGAAAGUUUGCGGCUCAACCGUAAAAUUGCAGUUGAAACUGGCAGUCUUGAGUACAGUAGAGGUGGGCGGAAUUCGUGGUGUAGCGGUGAAAUGCUUAGAUAUCACGAAGAACUCCGAUUGCGAAGGCAGCUCACUGGACUGCAACUGACACUGAGGCUCGAAAGUGUGGGUAUCAAACAGGAUUAGAUACCCUGGUAGUCCACACAGUAAACGAUGAAUACUCGCUGUUUGCGAUAUAC